RNAcentral lists this ribosomal RNA (468 nucleotides) under uncultured bacterium. RNAcentral describes it as "partial 16S ribosomal RNA". It matches the Rfam family "Bacterial small subunit ribosomal RNA", at positions 28 to 507 of the family's 1533-position model. The record is from RNAcentral.
GACGAACGCUGGCGGCGUGCUUAACACAUGCAAGUCGAACGGAAAGGCCCUGCUUUUGUGGGGUGCUCGAGUGGCGAACGGGUGAGUAACACGUGAGUAACCUGCCCUUGACUUUGGGAUAACUUCAGGAAACUGGGGCUAAUACCGGAUAGGAUCUCCUGCUGCAUGGUGGGGGUUGGAAAGUUUCGGCGGUUGGGGAUGGACUCGCGGCUUAUCAGCUUGUUGGUGGGGUAGUGGCUUACCAAGGCUUUGACGGGUAGCCGGCCUGGGAGGGUGACCGGCGACAUUGGGACUGAGAUACGGCGCAGACUCGUACGGGAGGCAGCAGUGGGGAGUAUUGCACAAUGGGCGGAAGCCUGAUGCAGCAACGCCGGGUGCGGGAUGACGGCCUUCGGGUUGUAAACCGCUUUCGACUGUGACGAAGCGUGAGUGACGGUAAUGGGUAAAGAAGCACCGGCUAACUACGUG